This 255-nucleotide long non-coding RNA is filed under the name Elaeis guineensis (African oil palm). Its description in RNAcentral is "long non-coding RNA (EGUI_LNC016716)". Lineage: Eukaryota; Viridiplantae; Streptophyta; Magnoliopsida; Arecales; Arecaceae. The record is from RNAcentral.
GCCCACUUCCCAGCGCGAUAGAUUUUAGGUGCCAAAGGAGGGCACCAGCCUGUGCAGAAUUAAGCUGUGUUUUUUCGCAAGCAUGACAUCGUCUUGGUACGAGGCUCGUACGGGCUCUUUGAUUGGGUCUCAUUGUGAAGCCGUAGAGGGCAGUGAGGUCAUUCUGCUCUCAUCAGAAUCCUCCGCGUUCCGCCGCUUAAAAAGCGCCGAAGCAUUUCAAACCACGCUUUUUAAAGUGGAGGUCAAACGGCCAAA